AAGACUAUAGACCUGCGGAGUACCUGCGGAGGGAUCAUUACAUGAUUUGAGGGGGCUCGCGUCCCCUCAUCCAACCCACAAACCCCGAGGAAACUUUAUGUCGAGUGGUUCGGCACUCUCUUUGAGAGCCGCCCCUCAAACGCAUCGCAGGCUUUUCGUGAGGGUCUGAUGUGUCACAUCGUGAGUAUCAAAACUUUUAGCAACGGAUCUCU
This 212-nucleotide unclassified non-coding RNA is filed under the name soil metagenome. RNAcentral's name for it is "partial contains 5.8S ribosomal RNA, internal transcribed spacer 2, and large subunit ribosomal RNA". The record is from RNAcentral.